Molecule: non-coding RNA, 21 nt
Filed under: Rattus norvegicus (Norway rat)
Lineage: Eukaryota; Metazoa; Chordata; Mammalia; Rodentia; Muridae
Source: RNAcentral
AUGAAAAUGGAUGUUUAUCGA